RNAcentral lists this ribosomal RNA (375 nucleotides) under uncultured bacterium. RNAcentral describes it as "bacterial SSU rRNA". It matches the Rfam family "Bacterial small subunit ribosomal RNA", at positions 521 to 896 of the family's 1533-position model. The record is from RNAcentral.
UAAUACGGAGGGUGCGAGCGUUAAUCGGAAUUACUGGGCGUAAAGCGUACGCAGGCGGUUUGUUAAGCGAGAUGUGAAAGCCCCGGGCUCAACCUGGGAACUGCAUUUCGAACUGGCAAACUAGAGUGUGAUAGAGGGUGGUAGAAUUUCAGGUGUAGCGGUGAAAUGCGUAGAGAUCUGAAGGAAUACCGAUGGCGAAGGCAGCCACCUGGGUCAACACUGACGCUCAUGUACGAAAGCGUGGGGAGCAAACAGGAUUAGAUACCCUGGUAGUCCACGCCGUAAACGAUGUCUACUAGAAGCUCGGGUCUUCGGACUUGUUUUUCAAAGCUAACGCAUUAAGUAGACCGCCUGGGGAGUACGGCCGCAAGGUUA